GUGAAGGAGGAAGGCGAGGAGGGAAAGGAGAAAGACGUGGUGAAGGACGAGGUAGAAGAGGAGUAAGGGCAAGGAGACAAGCAGUCUCGGAUGAAAUUCGAGCCACUUUAGUGGACCAUGUUCUUGUCCAUGGUAUGACCAUGAGGGAGGAUGGGCAAUCCAGCCUAAUUUGAGUCGCUUCACCGUCGCCUCCAUCAUCAGAACCUUCAGGGAGGAAAACAGGAUACAGAGACGACCAUCUGGUGGUGAGAGGUUAAGGCUUUUGUCAGAGGAGCAAGAGAGGGAGCUUGUAAACAUGGUCAUUGCCAAUAAUGUAAUCCGCCUGCGAGAGAUUCAAAGGAGAGUGAUUGAGGAUAAUAAUAAUUUUCAAGGAAUAAAUUCCAUCAGCCUUUCCAUAAUUGAUCGCAUUCUCCGAAAGCAAUGGUUCCAGAUGAAACAGGUGUACCGCGUCCCUUUUGAACGAAACUCUGACAGGGUAAAAGAUCCACGAGUGGAUUAUGUUCAGGUAUGACUUUUGAUAUUGUAUGAAGUAUUCUAUUGGGUUUUGAUGUGUUUUGCAGAGAAUCUUUGAGAUUGAAGGCUGGCCUGUUCCACCUGAAAUUAUCUUUGUGGAUGAGGCUGGUUUCAACCUCACCAAAAAAAGGAGAAUGGGGAGGAAUAUAAUCGGCCAUCGGGCUAUUGUAAAUGUCCCUGGUCAGCAUGGAGGGAAUGUCACGAUGUGCGCAGCCAUCAGCCAAUGAGGGGUACUCCACCGCCAUCCCAGUCUAGGACCCUAUAAUACUAUGCUCCUUCUUGCAUUCCUUGACGGUCUAAGAGAGCAUAUGUUCCAGCUGGACCACAGGGAACCAGCACAACCAGAGCACCCUCACUAUGUGGUUGUUUGGGACAACGUCAGCUUCCAUCGCGCUGCUCUGGUUCGUGACAGGUUUACCGAUAACCCAAUAUUUUCCAACCUCUUUCUACCUGCAUACUCUCUAUUUCUUAACCCAAUAGAGGAGUUUUUUUGGCAUGGCGGUAGAAAGUGUAUGACCGAGAACCUUAUAUGCGUGUUCACCUUCUUCAAGCCAUGAAAGAAGCCUGCCUAGACAUAUCAGUAGAUGCGUGCCAGGGGUGGAUCAGGCAUGCAAGAGGGUUUUACCCCCCCUGCCUGGCUAGGGCCAAUUCUUAUUUAUUUUUUUACUGUGUAGUACUGUAAUACAGUAAUGAAUGAAAUGUGCCAAUGUAACCAUUGGUUGUGUCUUGUGUUCAUCUGAAAAGGUUUGUGGCAACAUAAAUAAACAGUUUUGGAAA
Molecule: long non-coding RNA, 1290 nt
Organism: Esox lucius (northern pike)
Lineage: Eukaryota; Metazoa; Chordata; Actinopteri; Esociformes; Esocidae
Exons: 2
Source: RefSeq, a predicted model, not a curated record